GACGAACGCUGGCGGCGUGCUUAACACAUGCAAGUCGAACGGAAAGGCCCUGCUUUUGUGGGGUGCUCGAGUGGCGAACGGGUGAGUAACACGUGAGUAACCUGCCCUUGACUUUGGUAUAACUUCAGGAAACUGGGGCUAAUACCGGAUAGGAGCUCCUGCUGCAUGGUGGGGGUUGGAAAGUUUCGGCGGUUGGGGAUGGACUCGCGGCUUAUCAGCUUGUUGGUGGGGUAGUGGCUUACCAAGGCUUUGACGGGUAGCCGGCCUGAGAGGGUGACCCGCCACAUUGGGACUGAGAUACGGCCCAGACUCCUACGGGAGGCAGCAGUGGGGAAUAUUGCACAAUGGGCGGAAGCCUGAUGCAGCAACGCCGCGUGCGGGAUGACGGCCUUCGGGUUGUAAACCGAUUUCGCCUGUGACGAAGCGUGAGUGACGGUAAUGGGUAAAGAAGCACCGGCUAACUACGUG
RNAcentral lists this ribosomal RNA (468 nucleotides) under uncultured bacterium. RNAcentral's name for it is "partial 16S ribosomal RNA". It matches the Rfam family "Bacterial small subunit ribosomal RNA", at positions 28 to 507 of the family's 1533-position model. The record is from RNAcentral.